GAAUCCACUGCGUCCAGUGAACGUAAUGUAGUGGGGUGCUUGGGAAUGCAGCUCAGGGCCGCACUCCUCCCCCCAACCACUCCUUUAAUUAGGGCAGAGUAUAAAGUGCACCUGCUGCAAUUGUUCUUUCCUUUGGCUCUGCCUUCAUGGUCGGUGGUGCAGUUUGUCCAGUGACUCUUUCUUCCUGUGUUAUUACUUUUCCGUUAGUAAAGCUGAAUGCCGGUCAUUGGGGGGGCUAGUCACCCUCACUAUUUGUUGUGGUGAAGAUCACCGGGGACCACGAGUGAGGACCUGUUUGCUGUGUGUGGUUUGCUGUGGCUGCACCUGGAUGGUAGCAGUAUGAGAGGGAGGCUUGGCGGAGACUGACCUCAUUACGCCCACAGUGAACAUGUGUGGAUGACAUGCUGUAUGGAAGAUGUUGCAGGGUUUUUUCUCAUCACCUACCCCUACAAAUUAUCUUACACUUUCAUCAGGCCUUGCGUCAAAUAUGGCCUUGUUGAUCCUGAAGCUUCAGUCCCAUGGUGUUUUUCCAAAUUAUAUGUUUUUUCAACCUAUCCUCUCGUGAGAAUUUUAGUUCUGCUGACAGCUACACUCAUAUUUGUGCUAAAAUGUAUAUUGUAAAUUACGUUUUCAUGCAUAUUUUCUGUGUAUCAUUUCAAAAUGUUACACUCACAAUCCAUUGCCUUUGUGGGCUCUACAUCAUUGGGCCCUCCCACUGAUUCAGGACAGGCUUUGAAUUGAAAAGAAUGUCUGAGUGACACUGACUCAGCUGAACAAUGUUGUUAUACUGAGAUAAUUGAAAGUCAUCUGCUUCCAAAUUCAAUAGACUAUAUACAUUAAAGGGCUGCAUUACAUUCUGAUUCAGCUAUAUUUAAGUAUGUCAUUUCAAUCAUUUGUAUUUUCCUAGCCUUCUAUAAGAGAGAAAUUAUUUUUGUACAAAUAAAGUAUUUUCAAUAUAUUUUGAGUUUUAGAUCAUUACCAAUAAUGUGGUAUUACUGUGUUUGAGUAUGGACUGACAAUCAGCCAUGUUUUUAUUUUUAAUUUCUUUGUU
Long non-coding RNA from Eleginops maclovinus (Patagonian blennie), 1051 nucleotides. RefSeq lists it as uncharacterized. The transcript is spliced from 5 exons. NCBI's taxonomy places the organism in Eukaryota, Metazoa, Chordata, Actinopteri, Perciformes, Eleginopidae. The record is from RefSeq and is a predicted model, not a curated record.